Molecule: ribosomal RNA, 253 nt
Filed under: uncultured bacterium
Lineage: Bacteria
Description: partial 16S ribosomal RNA
Rfam family: Bacterial small subunit ribosomal RNA
Source: RNAcentral
GACAGAGGUUGCAAACGUUGUUCGGAAUUACUGGGCAUAAAGCGCACGUAGGCGGUCCGUUAAGUCAUGUGUGAAAUCCCCCGGCUCAACCGGGGAAUUGCGCCUGAUACUGGCGGGCUAGAGAUCGAUAGGGGUGAGUGGAACUCCAGGUGGAGCGGUGAAAUGCGUAGAUAUCUGGAGGAACACCGGUGGCGAAAGCGGCUCACUGGAUCGAUACUGACGCUGAGGUGCGAAAGCUAGGGUAGCAAACGGG